RNAcentral lists this ribosomal RNA (1009 nucleotides) under Umbelopsis ramanniana. RNAcentral describes it as "SSU rRNA". It matches the Rfam family "Eukaryotic small subunit ribosomal RNA", at positions 89 to 1096 of the family's 1831-position model. The record is from RNAcentral. Lineage: Eukaryota; Fungi; Mucoromycota; Umbelopsidomycetes; Umbelopsidales; Umbelopsidaceae.
GCGAAUGGCUCAUUAAAUCAGUUAUAAUUUAUUUGAUAUUCACUUACUACUUGGAUAACCGUGGUAAUUCUAGAGCUAAUACAUGCGUACAUAACCUCGACUUCUGGAAGAGGUGCACUUAUUAGAUAAAAAGCCAACGCGGGCAACCGCUUGUAUGGUGAUUCAUAAUAAUUAAGCGAAUCGCAUGGCCUUGUGCCGGCGAUGAUGCAUUCAAAUUUCUGCCCUAUCAAGUUUCGAUGGUAGGUUAGUGGCCUACCAUGCUUUUAACGGGUAACGGGGAAUUAGGGUUCGAUUCCGGAGAGGGAGCCUGAGAAACGGCUACCACAUCCAAGGAAGGCAGCAGGCGCGCAAAUUACCCAAUCCCGACACGGGGAGGUAGUGACAAUAAAUAACAAUACAGGGCCUUUACGGGUCUUGUAAUUGGAAUGAGUACAAUUUAAAUCCCUUAACGAGGAACAAUUGGAGGGCAAGUCUGGUGCCAGCAGCCGCGGUAAUUCCAGCUCCAAUAGCGUAUAUUAAAGUUGUUGCAGUUAAAAAGCUCGUAGUUGAAUUUUGGCCUUGGGUGGUUUGGUUUGGCCUUCAUUGGUCAAUGCCUUUUCCGCCUAGGUCUUACCUUCUGGGUUAGCUAGUGUCAUUUCGGUGGUGCUAGUGAACCAGAACUUUUACUUUGAAAAAAUUGGAGUGUUUAAAGCAGGCUUUCAAGCUUGAACAUAUUAGCAUGGAAUAAUGAAAUAGGACUUUGGCCUUAUUUCGUUGGUUUCUAAAGCCAAAGUAAUGAUGAAUAGGGAUAGUUGGGGACAUUAGUAUUCAAUUGUCAGAGGUGAAAUUCUUGGAUUUAUUGAAGACUAACUUCUGCGAAAGCAUUUGUCAAGGAUGUUUUCAUUAAUCAAGAACGAAAGUUAGGGGAUCGAAGACGAUCAGAUACCGUCGUAGUCUUAACCAUAAACUAUGCCGACUAAGGAUCGGAUGGUGUUAUAUUUUAUAUUGACCCAUUCGGCAUUUCAGCGAA